Molecule: transfer RNA, 69 nt
Filed under: Trypodendron signatum
Lineage: Eukaryota; Metazoa; Arthropoda; Insecta; Coleoptera; Curculionidae
Description: tRNA-Met
Source: RNAcentral
AAAAAGAUAAGCUAAUAAAGCUUUUGGGUUCAUACCCCAACCACAAAGGUGUCACUCCUUUUCUUUUUA